UUGAGCUCAUUGCUUUUUGCUGCCUCUGGUGGUCCUGGUUCCUGGUGACCAGAAUGAAACCUGCUGGGACACCCCACUCUCUCUGAAGCCUGCAAAUGAGAUCCUGGGAAAGCUGGCAGAAGGCGCAAAGUUGAGAAUUCUCACCAAAGUUGGCUCUUCCAGAUCUCUCCCUGUGGCUCCUGGUUGAGGGAGGAAGAUACCAUCUCACAUUGUCCCUCCCUUUCCAAAUUCAGACUGGCUGGCAAAAAGCAUUUGCAAGAAUUAGAUCUUUGAAUUGUGACUCAUGAAUUUGCUUUCAGGUGAAACGCUCUGACUGUAGUAGACUAUCAGCUUUGUUCUCUGUGCAUUCAACUUGGUUGUCUCCAAUCAGGCAGAAGUGUGACACUGCAAAUAGUCUAUCUUUUCUUUUGGCUCGGGAGUGGCAAGUGGAUCUUCUUAACAAUGACUUCAACCUCUCCAAUGGCUAGCAAAAGUGUCACUGUCAGCUGUGAUUUUUUUUCCCCAAAAUACUACUUUCAAAGGGCUGAAGGUCAAGCUAACACUAAUUCAUUAUAGACAAAACACUUAUCUCUUAUGUAAUCUUAGACUUGGUGAAAUAUAUUUUCUUUUCAUCUAUUCUUUGCUCAAAAUAUCAUGCACAAUAAAACAAUACAUAUUCUUGAUUACUAUAAAAUGAAAAUUUUGGAAGAGCAUAUCUGACCAUAAUAAAAACAUCAAGAACAAUUUAACUACGUGCAAAUGUAAUUUUAACAUGGCAGAAUAUAUUGUGUUUGGACAAAGUAUGUGAGCAUAUAUAUUUUCAAAGGGUCACUGCUGCCUUUAUAAGGGAUGUUUUCCAUAUUCCGAAUGUAUAAUACAAUUGAGAUGAACAACAGCAUUUUCAUAUUCUCUAAGUCUAUCCCAAUUUUGACCUUCUAAAGCUUGACUACCUCCAAUCUAAUCUGAAUUUAUGCACUAUGUUUAUAAGCCAAAAUUAAAUGUAUAUUUAGUUUAUAAAUAUAUCAAUUCCUUCAACAUCAAACAUUGGUCACUUAAUUUUUCUUAUGUAUAAAUUACUACUUUACGAUAGUUGAAAACAUUUUUCCUGUGUAGACUUUAUCUUCCCCAUCUGGGUUGUAAGUUCCCAAAGGCUGGGGAGAUUUUGAAAUUUUACUUGCUACUUUGAGUUGAUUUAACUGCUAGGAAAUGACAGAGUAUUUUUAAUUUAUAUUAUGCCUAAGCAAUUUUUAAUAUUUUCUUCCCCUGAACAUAUUUUAGUAAAUUCAGUGUAUUUUAAUUGGUAUAAACACCAGCAACAAUUCCAAUAAUAGUAAAAGUAAAAUAUAUCAUAUAAAUCAGUAUUAAAAAUUUAACAUAU
Molecule: long non-coding RNA, 1357 nt
Filed under: Equus caballus (horse)
Lineage: Eukaryota; Metazoa; Chordata; Mammalia; Perissodactyla; Equidae
Description: lncRNA (ENSECAG00000046884.1)
Source: RNAcentral